Molecule: long non-coding RNA, 1887 nt
Filed under: Equus caballus (horse)
Lineage: Eukaryota; Metazoa; Chordata; Mammalia; Perissodactyla; Equidae
Description: lncRNA (ENSECAG00000044464.1)
Source: RNAcentral
AAAAAAUAGUAACCUAUCUUGUGAGUUAUAUUAUUUAGCCCAAAUAUUUCACCACUGUGUCUUUUCACUGGAAGAUUUCAAAGGAAUUGAAAACAACUUUGCUUAUUUCAAAGAUGGUGCACAAAGAUCUUAUUCAAAGAUGGUGACAGAACCUCUAAUAGUAAAGGAUAAAGGAUUGUGUGUGUGUGUGCACGUGUGUGUGUGCUUGUGUGUACAGGCAUGCAUAUAUAUUUUGGGUAGGUAAUCAGUUUAUAGUUAAACAUAAAAAAUAAAAUAUGGUGUUUUGUAGUUGAUAUCAUUGAGAAGGUACUUAAGUAAUCUCCUGUUAGUAAACUGUAGCAGUUAUUAGUUAUUAAAUAGUAAUAGUAAUAAAUACUAAGAAAGGGUUACAUUUAUUGAGCACGUAUUGUGUGUUAGGCUGUCAUUUAAGGAUUCCACAUGGGUUAACUAAUGUAAUUAUCUGAACUGCUGUUUGAAGUAGGUACAGAGUUACUUUGUCCAUUUUACAGAUGAGAAAACUGAGGUACAAAGAGCUUAAGGACUUGCCCAAGGAGUCCAGUUCUGGGAAUAGCCCCAUCUAGGCCACGUGGUUCCAUGGCAAAGGGCAGGAACACAAAAGUCUGAACUGAACAACAUAGGUACGUUUAAGGUUUCUGCUCCGUUGUGGUGUACGUUAUGUCCACUCAUGUCCCAUUGGCCAAAGCGAGUCAUGUGGCCAAACCGGACAAUGGGACAGAGAAUAGUCUCCAUCUACCUUGAGGUGCUGGCAGUCACAUGGCAAAGGACAUGGGUGAAUAAACCUCUCGUUGGGAAGGACACAGUUAGUUGGGAACCAUAAUACAAUAUACUGCCAUCUGAGUGUUCCUAGAACUCCAUUUUCAUUCAAGAGAAAGCUGAAGCCUGGAGAUGUUACGUACAUACAGAAUUACAUACUUAUGUGAUUUGAACUAGUUUUUCUGAUUCCACGUACAUGCUCUUUCCUCAUCUGGUUUCCAAAUUCAUCUCUUUCUGCUCUGAAACGUAUACUCUGUACUUGAGUUUUAUGUAAUUUGCCAAAGCAGUGUGUAGAUUCAUGUGUCUCUGACUUAGGACAUGAUGUUAUAUCUGCUGUUGCAUUUUCCUCUUUCUAUGCUGGUAAACACUCAUUUUCUUCUAAAAAUUCAGGACAUCCAAAAGCAUUACUUGUUUCUCCUCGACUGGGUUGGGAGCCCUCCCUCACUGCUCCGUGGUGUUUUCUCUUCCCCAUAAUGCUUAUCUCUCUACAUUUUACUUGUGGGUGGACUUCUCCCUUCCCCGAACUAUAAAGAGAGUUUCUGGAGGGCAUUGUGAGAGGGGCGGCUUUUUACCUGUGGGUCCCUACGGUGGUACAGAGCAGGUGCUGUGCAGGAGCAUUGAGAUAAUGGAUAAGUGAAGUUUUCCUACCUAAGAAUGACACUUGUCAUUGUAGGGUCAGUAAUCUUGCAUUUCAUGUACGUGUCAAGUCAGCUGGAUUUAAAUCAUUCCAGAACAAAGGGCCUGGGAAAUCAGUCCACUAUCAUGACUCACAUGUGUUCUGUCUGCAGAUUGUUCUUUCUUAUAAAACUCAGCAAUUUUUAUACAACGUGUUUCCAAAGUGAUUUUUAUCCCUCCAUUUUCUGGUAUAAAAUAGGCUCCAAUUAUUCUCUUUAAUUAAGUGGUUUUAUUUUAUUAAUUGUUUCUAACUUACAGAAUUCCCUAGAGACCCUUUACACGUUUCCAAAUGAAGCCAGGAAGAAAAGCGCAUUAAUUAUACACACAACGUCCUUUUGGCGGAUUAAACCUGAUGCGCAGUGAACAUGAAGUGGCUCGCCCUCCUGAGCCAUCAGUCUUGUUGUCAGUGAUGGCUUGUAUGAGUAGUAUUGACAUGGG